GCCAAAGUGGCAUAGUGGUUUGAAUGUUGGGAUAUGACUCUGGAGAUCAGGGUUCAAUUCCCUGCUCAGCCA
Molecule: transfer RNA, 72 nt
Filed under: Phrynosoma platyrhinos (Desert horned lizard)
Lineage: Eukaryota; Metazoa; Chordata; Lepidosauria; Squamata; Phrynosomatidae
Description: tRNA-OTHER
Source: RNAcentral